Long non-coding RNA from Maniola jurtina (meadow brown), 3132 nucleotides. RefSeq lists it as uncharacterized. The transcript has 2 exons. NCBI's taxonomy places the organism in Eukaryota, Metazoa, Arthropoda, Insecta, Lepidoptera, Nymphalidae. The record is from RefSeq and is a predicted model, not a curated record.
CAUUAGACAAAAAGUCAGUGGGCGUUGACCAUUUUGAGUGACCAACCAAUCUCAAACGAGUCUUAUGUUUUUCGUACUAUUCGUUGGUUGGUCGUACGUGAUUGGUUUAACCAAUCACAAACGAGUUUUCCGCGGAUAGAAUAGUACGAAAAACAAGACUCGUUUGAGAUUGGUUGGUCACUCAAAAUGGUUAACACCCACUGAUUUUUUGUCUUUGUCAUUUGUAUGGGAUUACAGAGCUCGAUAUUAACUUCUCUCCAUGGAUGGAAUAAUAUGCUCUGUUUGGUAUUAUUUUUUCGUGUAAGCCAAACUAAAUUCAUUUACUUGUCACGUCAUACAUACCUUAUAUUAAAAAAAAAAUUGAUGGAAACUCUGCCUGCAUGAUUCUAUGGAGUUUUUUAUUAAUAAUUAAAAAAAUAAAACCUUAUUGUAGGUGUGGCGUAAUAAGUAAAUGUCGCAGAUUAAAAAAAAAUCUCGAUUCGCUUUUUAGGUUUCCGUAUUAAAUUUAAGACUAAAUACGUGUAUAUCAAUAAAAAGAGAAAAAAACUAUAUAUCUAGAGUUAUUUAGUAAUUUUAAAAGUUCUGAGAGGGAUAAUUUUAUUUCAAUUAAAAUAUUAAUUAAUACAUUUUUGAAUUUGAAAAUUUAAUUUUAUGCUUUCCUCGUAUUUAUUGUAUUAUUUUGAAUUUCCAAAGAUUAUAAAUCCAAUUCGAAUUGUCAGUCUUGUUAUACUUGAGUAUAAUAAACGGAUUAAUUGAUUUUUAUUCAUUUGUUUGUAUCAUUUUAAUAAUACCUGUAACACUAACUCUGCCCUCCUUUAACUAAAGAAACCGAUAGCUGCAAAAAUAUAUAUUUUAUCAGUUAUUGCCACAAAGGGUGGAAAUUUUUCAAAAACUAAUGUUUCUAGAAAUAAAUGCUACAUAGGAAACUAAACACAAAAAAAAUCAUCUAUAAACUAACUUAAUUUUUUUUUUCAAAUAUUUGUAGAAAAGAUAGGACCAAAUUAAAUACUAAUUGGUUCUACGUAUCAUCCUCUUUUAGAAAGUUUCUAGAAAAGAAGGGUCUCUAGUAUCUAACUAAAAACCUUGAUCAUAGGACACCUACACAGUAAUCUUUUUUAGAAACAUUAGAUUUUGGAAAUCCAACGUUUUUUUGGCGAUAACUUAUAAAUAACUUUUUGCAAUUAACGGAUUUUUAGUUUAAAGUAUAGCAUUUAAUUUCAUGUGAACGAUUUGAUAAAGCGCUAAGUUGAACUCGAAGAAUUGCAGUGAGUAUUUAUAAACAUUUGCAAAACGAGUCUUUGGAAUUUAAUUUGUACGUGACAAUGAGUCGCGGAUAUUAUCAAUAAUUGAAUCAUAUUUAACCCGUCGCGUUGCGUCAGUUAGACUGACUUUCAUGAUUAUGACUCAUACAUUUGUAUGUAUUGUUUGAAAUUGGUACUUAUACCUAAUAUUAUAAGUGGGACAUAAAAAAAAUAUCUUCAAACUCUUUAAAAAUUGUUUUUUUAACCGACUUCUAAAAAGAAGGUGGUUUUUGCCUGUGAAGAGAUCUAUCCAUCAACUAUUAUAAUACCUACUUCCUGUCUAUGUAGUUGGUCUGAAAUUAUCUUUUCAUCUUCGUGUUGUAUCAAAUCGCUCAACAAGGAACAACAAUUAAAAAUCUAUUAAGUAUUUAAUAUUAUAAAAGUCGAUCAUCAAUAUUACUUAAUAGCACCAAUUUAAUUAUUACACAAAACUUGACUAAAUUGAGCUAGUUCUCUUAUAUUUUUUUAGUAAUACUUUAUUUUCCCCUUGAAUAAUUGCGCCAAUCUUAGUUUAGUUUUGUGUACACUAAAAUUGGCUUAAUGUCUUUAUUCAUUAUUAUUACAUGCAACAAUUAUUCGAGUACUUUCUCGCUUAGUGUAAGAGGUAACUAAGCCUUUUCCCAAAUGUGCGAAAUUCCGACCGUAUUUUUUUUGGCUAUGAUAAAUGGUAUUUAUAUCGAGUUACUAGAUACUCGAAAUCUAAUUAACCUUGACGACAAUGUGUCAAACUUAUACUAGACAAGACAACGUAAUACGAAAAUUCCGGCCGAAAAUUCGCACGUCUUCGUUUUAAUCUGGACAAUUCAUUGCAAUGGUUUGCGAUACAUUUAGUUGAACUUGAUAAGUAUAAUAUAUAUUUUUUUAUUACAAUUAUUUUCGAUUGUGUAGCAAUUUAAUGUCAAAAUAGGAUUUUGGGAUUCAGGUAGUUUGAUUUUCUAUUUUUCAUAAAUUGUAUUAUGUUUUGUUGUAACUAAUAGUCUCAGAUUGAAGGAAUAAGAUAGACGGAACUUGGGUUGUCAGAUUAGAAGCCGAUUGGGAGAAGCCGUAUUCUGUGACAGUGGACUGACUUCGCUUUUAAGAUGUGGCGAGUGUUUCGUUUAUCCUCUUCCUUUAGUCGAUGUAAAAUAAUUAUAAUGUAUAAUUUCUAAACUGUCCAGGCGUCCUAAGAGAGUGGAUUGCUGAACUGAGGGUCGGGGUUACUUAGAGGGGGGCAAGUCGGCCGACUGGUUUGUGACUUAGGUUAGAAUUUAGACAGAACAUAAGUACAGCUAGAUUCUGAAUCAUUUAGCCUUUAUUUCCACGAAUCAUAGUCUAAAAAAUAAAAAAUAAACGCUUUUAUGAGUAGCGUACUAAAUGACUCAUGAGACAAGUUAACAAUCGAGAAAUUUUAAUUUUAUAAAUGUGUUAGGCGCCAUCUCCACGGGCGAUAGUCUCGCCCGCCAAAUUCAAUACAACUCUUAUGGGUCAAUCUCCACGGGGCGAUUCUAUCGUUCUGAGUCACUCGUAUCGCUAUAUGACGUAUAACUGAACGAGUAUAACGUCACGGACUCAUCGCAUCGCGCCGCGCCGAUACCGCCACGUUACGCCACAGUUGAGAGCCGCAACGAGGCGUUGCGGUUACGUCACGCGGCGAUCCGUUGCGGUCUCGUGGCGCAUCACUGGCCCUUAUGGUUUUACCGUGGAGAUUAUCCGACGAUAGUAGGACGGACUCGUUGCAAUUCUCGUCCGUGGAGAUGGCGCCUUAUUGUAAGUCACAGACCAGUCCGCGUUAAAUAGUUUGUGAUGUAAUAACACCUUAUAAUGAAAAAAUAAAUGUUUUUUAUUGCCAAAA